AGUGAAUUUGAAUUGCUCACGCUGAGACAGAAGCUUCAAUUACAUACUUAAAAAAAAAGUUUACAAACCAACACCUCCUCGUCAAAUCCCACAGUCACCUUCGUUUCUUAGAGAGAUCUUUCGUUGAUAUUACAUUUCUAUUUCCAGUUCCUUUUCUGCCAUUAGCAGAAGCAAAGAGCACUCCAAAUAACUGCAACCUCUCAGAGCCCAAGAGGUUGAGAGGUUAGCCUAAAGUUUCCUGAGACUUGUACUGCAAUAUGUAGUUGAGAGAAAAGGUCGUGCUCUCUGUGUUUUGUUUUAAAUUAAUAUUGACCCAUUAAUUCCAAACCUGCUUGUUCGUGAAAUUAUACAGGAUUAUAGUUUGCCAUCUCCAGGACAAUGAAGUAAAUCAAGAUGAAUUACAGUUUGGCCCUCCCAUCAGAUGACAUCUGAACUGGGACUGAGUACGUGCGGAUGUGAAGAGUCUUGUGGGGACUGGCGGUGGGGGAAGGAAAGGAGAGGAGUUUCGGAGAGAACCUUUGGGGGAGGGGAGCUUUUGAUUAAAAAAUAUCAAGAGUAAAUUAAAAUAUAAAACUCUGGACAAAGUGGGGGAGGGGGGAAUCGCGGCUUGCUUGUAGAGAGGGAAUCAGCAGACUUGAUGGGACCUGAGAUGGAAAAGUCCUAGGGGCCUGUCUCUGGAGAAGCUGAAUGUGUGUGUGUGUGUGUGUGUGUAUGUAUGUGUGUGGCGUUUCUUUGCGGCUGGGUGUGUUUUAGCGGCUGUAACUUUACCUAUAGGCCGAGCAGACACUGUGCCUUUGUUCUGCACGGAAUCACUGGCCCUUAACAGGAGAUCACUUGAUAAUGCUCCUUCUUUAUGAUCGGCGCUCGCUGCACAUUAACUUGUCUUUCUUUAUUUUUGGAGGAGUCGCGGCCAGACCUGCAGGCAAGGAUCAGGCGGCGGAGAGAGCGCCAACAAAAAGCCCUUGGGACAGCCGAUCACCUUCCCCUGGUAGUCCUUGGCGGUGGCGAUGGCCAGAAUCAAUGGAUCCCCGGGCGAAAGUUUCUAAAAUGGGAGGCUGGGCUGGACAGUUUCUGCACCAUGCUGGGGCCAGCCAGGACAGCUCCUGGGACAGAGCUGGGAGAACAGAUGGCGCCUCUUUGGAGCCCAGAGACAGACGGAUCCCCACUUUCCCCCCAGUCCAGACCGCUUCCAAUCGAUUGGCUGUGCCGUGUCAACACUUAAACCCUGACAAAUCAAACCCAAACUAUUGGACCUGGGCGUUCACGUUGGUACUUCAGAUCGUUAAAAAGAUGAGAAAUCGGCGUGCUCACCCCCAGAGGACAUAAAUCAUUCCCGGCGCAUUCUGAAUUUCCUCUGCCCCUCCCAAUUGAAGCCUGGAAGCUCAUCAUUUCUCUGCGCCACUUGACCAAAGAUAUAAUGUUUUGAAGAGGUCGUAAAUCAAAAGGUUUUUGGCUUCCCUUCUCCUUGCUAGCGAUGGAGUUUGGAUCUGAAAUAAUAAUGAUAAUCAGAAUUAAUAAUAAUUAAUGGAGAGAAGUGGGGGAGGAACCCCAAAGUCUUAACAUUCCCGUUCUUAUCCAAAGCUAAUAAAAAUAACUUAUCUGAUGUGUGGCUGCUCUUUUGAGGACUCAGUAAGCGCUAAUGGCUGGCCAAAAGCGCUGAGUGUGAACAAACAGAGCUGUCUGGGUCCCAAUCCACAUCUCAAUCCACAAUGAGAUGGGAGACCUAAUCCCUCCCCCCCGCUUCCCGCAAAAGCAGGGAUUCACUCUACAGUCUACCCAGUCCUUCACUCCAUUUCUCUUGUGCGGAUUAGGAGGGGGAGAAGUGUGGCCUGUAAUCAGAUCUGGUGUUUUGAAACAUUUAUGAAUAUAGACUCGCUAUUGAUUGACUUCAGAAAUGGCAAGGCGCAUUAAGCUUAACACACAAUCAGGUGGAGAUCACCAACGGACAAUGGACCAUCUCAGGAGCAUCAUUGGAUCUGGUUCUACAUUGCCGAAGCAGGAGAUCAACAGAUAUGGUCUGGUGGCAAAGUCCUUGUCUUGAUUCCUUGGAUGGUACUCAGGAACA
Molecule: non-coding RNA, 2065 nt
Organism: Pelodiscus sinensis (Chinese soft-shelled turtle)
Lineage: Eukaryota; Metazoa; Chordata; Testudines; Trionychidae
Source: RefSeq, a predicted model, not a curated record